This 112-nucleotide small nuclear RNA is filed under the name Arabidopsis lyrata subsp. lyrata. RNAcentral describes it as "snRNA U1". It matches the Rfam family "U1 spliceosomal RNA". From Rfam's summary of the family: U1 is a small nuclear RNA (snRNA) component of the spliceosome (involved in pre-mRNA splicing). Its 5' end forms complementary base pairs with the 5' splice junction, thus defining the 5' donor site of an intron. Lineage: Eukaryota; Viridiplantae; Streptophyta; Magnoliopsida; Brassicales; Brassicaceae. The record is from RNAcentral.
GUACUUACCUGGACUUCCAUUGCACAUUAUGGAAGGGUGCUUAGCCUAAGGUCUUCCCAUGUGGAAGAGCCUGCGUCAUUAUUUGUGGCAGCGGGGGCCUGCGUUACCUCUA